AAAGUCGUAACAAGGUUUCCGUAGGUGAACCUGCGGAAGGAUCAUUACUGAACGCUUGAGGAUGUUGCUGGCCUUGAGUGGGCAUGUGCACUCCUUGAACAUUCCAACCUCACACCUGUGCACCUUUUGUAGGCUUGGCAUAAACACAAUGUCGGGCCUAUGUAUUUUUACCUCACACACACCAUUUGAAUGUCAUUUGAAUGUCUCGUUAUCGAUGAUAAAUAAUAUACAACUUUCAACAAUGGAUCUCUUGGCUCUC
RNAcentral lists this unclassified non-coding RNA (259 nucleotides) under Basidiomycota sp. RNAcentral's name for it is "partial contains small subunit ribosomal RNA, internal transcribed spacer 1, and 5.8S ribosomal RNA". The stretch from base 1 to 47 matches the Rfam family "Eukaryotic small subunit ribosomal RNA", at positions 1785 to 1831 of the family's 1831-position model. Lineage: Eukaryota; Fungi; Basidiomycota. The record is from RNAcentral.